Molecule: ribosomal RNA, 634 nt
Filed under: Cellulosimicrobium sp. CH231
Lineage: Bacteria; Bacillati; Actinomycetota; Actinomycetes; Micrococcales; Promicromonosporaceae
Description: bacterial SSU rRNA
Rfam family: Bacterial small subunit ribosomal RNA
Source: RNAcentral
UGGAAUGCGCAGAUAUCAGGAGGAACACCGAUGGCGAAGGCAGGUCUCUGGGCCGCAACUGACGCUGAGGAGCGAAAGCAUGGGGAGCGAACAGGAUUAGAUACCCUGGUAGUCCAUGCCGUAAACGUUGGGCACUAGGUGUGGGGCUCAUUCCACGAGUUCCGUGCCGCAGCAAACGCAUUAAGUGCCCCGCCUGGGGAGUACGGCCGCAAGGCUAAAACUCAAAGGAAUUGACGGGGGCCCGCACAAUCGGCGGAGCAUGCGGAUUAAUUCGAUGCAACGCGAAGAACCUUACCAAGGCUUGACAUGCACGAGAAGCCACCAGAGAUGGUGGUCUCUUUGGACACUCGUGCACAGGUGGUGCAUGGUUGUCGUCAGCUCGUGUCGUGAGAUGUUGGGUUAAGUCCCGCAACGAGCGCAACCCUCGUCCCAUGUUGCCAGCGGGUUAUGCCGGGGACUCAUGGGAGACUGCCGGGGUCAACUCGGAGGAAGGUGGGGAUGACGUCAAAUCAUCAUGCCCCUUAUGUCUUGGGCUUCACGCAUGCUACAAUGGCCGGUACAAAGGGCUGCGAUACCGUAAGGUGGAGCGAAUCCCAAAAACCCGGUCUCAGUUCGGAUUGGGGUCUGCAACUCG